RNAcentral lists this long non-coding RNA (17079 nucleotides) under Podarcis lilfordi (Lilford's wall lizard). Lineage: Eukaryota; Metazoa; Chordata; Lepidosauria; Squamata; Lacertidae. The record is from RNAcentral.
AGAUGUUUGUGAAAAACCCAUCUGCAAUUCCCCAUCCACUGGAGAAGUGGCUCGUAUCUGAUCUUCAGCAAAGCAGACUGCGGUUGGCUUCGGCCUCGUCUGCUAAGAUCCAACAGCAAAAGAAAAGCAAUGAUGAAACCAAUUAAGCAUGAAUGUGCACAUUUCAGCAGCAGUGAUUUCAGGAUAGAGACAUUGUCAAAGUUUGUAACCGUCGAGUUUGGAAUUUGAAUUUGUUCAGCUGGUAAUGCCAUCUAUAAAACAAACUGAGCACAGCAUCGUCAGGAAGUAGUUUUCUUGCUCAGAAUGUAAAACAAGUAUCUGACGACUGGCCAGGCUGCUUUCUAGAUAUGUGAUGAAAAGUUAUUCAGUGUUAGCCCCUUGCUUUCACUGAAGCUGCCUUGGGUUGCUGCACAUAACACAUACCCUCCAAUUAAGUGUCUCUAUUUUCCUGAGACAGUCCUAGAAUGAUGAAUAAUAAUAACAAUAAUAAUUUAUUAUUUAUACCCCGCCCAUCUGCCUGGGUUUCCCCAGCCACUCUGGGCGGCUUCCAACCAAAUAUUAAAAACAAUACAGUGUCAGACAUUAAAAACUUCCCUAAACAAGGCCACCUUCAGUUGUCUUUUAAAAGUAUUGCCUUGACAUCUGCUGGGAGGGCGUUCCACAGGGCAGGCACCACUACUGAGAAGGCCCUCUGCCUGGUUCCCUGUAACCUCACUUCUCACAGCGAGGGAACUGCCAGAAGGCCCUCGGAGCUGGACCUCAGUGUCCGGGCUGGAUGAUGGGAGUGGAGAUGCUCCUUCAGGUAUAUAGGACCAAGGCCAUCCUGGCUUCUGAUUUGAUCUUGGAAUUUCCCUAUUCCCCCUGCCAGCUUCACCAAACCCCUGCAACGGGGUGAGCUCCCAUUGCUCGGUCCCUGCUCCUGCAACCUAGCAGUUCAAAAGCAUGUCAAAGUGCAAGUAGAUAAAUAGGUACCGCUCCGGCGGGAAGGUAAACGGCGUUUCUGUGCGCUGCUCUGGUUCGCCAGAAGCGGCUUAGUCAUGCUGGCCACAUGACCCGGAAGCUGUACGCCGGCUCGCUCGGCCAAUAAAGCGAGAUGAGCGCCGCAACCCCAGAGUCGUCCGUGACUGGACCUAACAGUCAGGGGUCCCUUUACCUUUACAUGUCCACUCACUCUCAUCUGUGCACCUCACUCAUACAGAAUCUCCAAUACAGGCUGAUUCUGCCAACCUUUCUAGCACCACAGCAAGCACAAGGCAGCACGGCACAUAUAAACACAACAGCUCAUGCCAGACUUCUGCCCCAGGAAACCCUUAAUUAUUAAUUGUUACAAUUCACCGGGAGGAGAAGCAAGCAAGCAAAAAAGAAACGCAACGUCACUUGCCCUCAUUACUGGUCCACAUUUAUUUAUUUAUUUCUGGGCAGCCUUCCAGAAGCCACAGGCCAGAGGUGUCAGGGCCAGAGGUAAAAGGGAGCAGAUAAAGUAAAACUUGGCUUUUAUACAGUAGGCUAGUUUCUGCACACACUCACCAACAACUCUCCAUCCAGCAAGCAAGAAUUAUUGUCGUGGUUCAAGGAUACGUUGCACCUGGCCCCAAACACUCAAGGGGAGAACAAAGAAGGGCCAGUAAGAGAGGUUUGUGGAGAGUCUUAGAGGCCAGCCAGAGAGGAUUGUGGGGGUGCAUUUGGCCCUGGGUAUGAAGUUCCCCAUUCCUGCUCUUUAGCAAGAUUGCCAUAUACAUUGCAGGGAUAAUGCAGGCCAGUUUGAUCACAAGGGCCGGCUUCUGGAAUCAUAGAAUUAUAGAGCUGGAAGGGAUCAGCCCUCUGCAAUGAUGGGAUCUCAGCUGAAGCAUCCAUGGCAGAUGGCCAUCCAACCUCUGCUUGAAAACCUCUAAGGAAGGAGAGUCCACAACCUCCCAAGGGAGACUGCUCCACUUAAAACAGCUCUUACUGUCAGAAAGUUCUUCCUGACAUUUAGUCGCAAUCUCCUUUAUUUUAUUCUAUUCUAUUCUAUUCUAUUCUAUUCUAUUUUAAAAUUGCAAAAAGCUGUAUUUUUUCUAGUACUUUUAUUUCUGUUUUUAUUUUUGCAUACCAGUUAUCAGAGGAAAACGCAAACGCAAUCCCCGCAUUUGGGGAAAUCGCAGGGGUCAGCACACCCAUAGUGCAAUGGAUGAUCCUCACCUUGGGAAAACCUCCUUCAUGAUCAAGGUGUCUCCCCCACUAUCGGAAUCUCCUUUCUUGUAGCUUGAAGCCAUGGGUUCGAGUCCUACCCUCCAGAGCAGGAGAAAGCAAGCUUGCUCCAUCAUCCGUGAGAUAGCCUUCUUCAAAUAUAUAAAGGGCUAUUAUAUCUCUUCUCGGUCUCUUUUUCCCCAGGCUAAACUUGCCCAACUCCUUCAACCAUUCCUCAUAAGGCUUGGUUUCCAGGACCUUGGUCAUCUUGGUUGCCCUCCUCUGCACACAUUCCAACUUGUCAAUGUCCUCCUUAACUUGUGGCGCCUAGAACUGGACACAGUAUUCCAGGUGUGGUCUGACCAAGGCAGAGCAGAGUGGUACUAAUACGUCCUCAGACUGUGUUCAAAGCGUAGCCAGGGAGUAGGUAUGAAUCUUUACAAUGUAUGGUUAGGGACAGCAUAUUCUGGAAAGCAAAACCUUUUAACAAUAUGCAAGGCCGCCAUGAUUACAAAAUUAAUACAUUUAUUAAGUUCAUAUAAAUGUCACCUGCUGACCAUCAUAACCAUUUUUCUUUAGGGAACAUGAAUGGACAGGCAUUUAUUAAUUUAGCAUGUACAGAUAACACUAAAUUCAGCAAGUAUUGAAAAAAAAUCAAUGAACUUAAAAGUGUGUUUUUUAAACUUCUAUUUUGCAAUAAGCUGUUCUCUUUAGAAGGGCCUCUUUGCAAAACAGAAGUAAUUAAACAAGAUUUAGAAACUCAUUUGUAUUUUAAAACAUUCUUAAAUGGAGAUAAAUAAUGUAUUUUUGCUGGAGAAAAAACUGUACCAGCUAAAUGUAAUUUAUUACUUUGUUUAGUUUCUCAAUAAUGUGCUGUUCAUCAAAAGGCAGCAAGAAAAAUCCAUCUCCUGAAGUCAUAAUACAUGUGCCGGAACUAAUUGUAGCACACAGGAAAAUCCAUUUCAGAUUCCAGAAAGUGUUUUCAUGUCUGGAAUAUAAAAGAAAAACAGUUAAGCUCAAAUAUGUGCACUUGAACCCAGUGCUUGAUUUCUAAACAAAGACAAACUGGACUUCAAGCCAGCCUCAUCCCAGAUGUAUUAUUAUGAUUAUCACCAUUGGUUUAUUAAUUGCCUCCCAAACAACCAUAUCAAGGCAAAUUACACAUAGGAUUAUUUAAAACAGAACACAAAGGCAUGAAAUAUGUUUGAAACAAAACUGAACCCUUAAGAACAAAGAUAUUCAUGGUAAAGACCCAUUCUGAGAGCAAAUGCAAAAUGCAGAUAUAAGUCCUAGGGGUGGAGCAGUUUGAUUCNNNNNNNNNNNNNNNNNNNNNNNNNNNNNNNNNNNNNNNNNNNNNNNNNNNNNNNNNNNNNNNNNNNNNNNNNNNNNNNNNNNNNNNNNNNNNNNNNNNNCCUCAGAGUUUGUUCAAGUCCACAAACCUCUGUCUGUGACUGAGCCCCUCUGACAUGGCUCCUCUAGUCACUAGAAGAUUCCGACAGUGGUUGCUUUCGUAAUCGCUUCCAACAUAAAAGCUCCUUAACGGAAACACGUCUUCUGGACUCUCUGCGUGACAGUUUCCGGCGAGGAGUGGGUGUCGCUACAGGAGGUCCGGAAACCUCACCACUGUUUUCGCUGGAAGUAUCUCUGAGCCAUCCCCCAGCUCCCUUUCCCUCAGUUCAGCUUCUCUCCCCUACUGGUUUCCUGUUCCGCUGCUGAGUCUCUUCCAACCUGUCUGAGCCCUUUCACCUCCCUCAGUUCAGCUUCUCUCCCUUGCUGGUUCCCUCUUCAGCUGCUGGAUCUCUUCCAUCCUGUCUGAGUCCUUUCACCUCCCGUCCUUCCGAUGGCUGUUCCCUGACAUCCACCUCCCUCCAGGGCCCCCUUCAACCCCUCUCGCCCCCUCCUCUACGGGCGGUGAGGAGGCAAAACCCCGGAAUGAACUUCCUUCAUCUUCCGAUGUCUCGAACACUUCUCUCCACCUGUUGCGGUUCCUGGUCUCGAAGCACUCCUCCUCCUCCGAGUCCAUCUCCCUUCCCCUUCCGAUUCUGGGAAUCCUUCCAACUCCUCCUCCUCCUCAGUGGUCCCAAAGUAUUCCCUCCGGAACCUCUCCACAGGCUGAGGUUUCCGCGGGAACCUUUGAUGGAACAUUUCUAUCAAUACCUCGUCAUUGAUAUCUUUGGCCAUUACCCACGUGUUUUCUGACUCCGGUUCUCCUUCCCACGCUACCAAAUACUCCACCUGAUUCCCCUUCCACCUGGCAUCAAGGAUUUCUGCCACAUGACUGCUGCAUUCUCUUUCUUCUAUGACCGGUCCCCGAGUGGCCAUCCCUUCUCGUCCCCCCUCGUACGGUGACAGUAACGACCUGUGAAAUACUGGGUGCAGUUUCAUGUGGUUGGGUAACCGGAGCCUGAAAGCCACUGGGUUGACCUGUUGAAUGACCUCAAAGGGACCCAACCUCCUGGGUCGUAAUUUCUUACAACCUCCUUUGAACGGCAACCCUCGGGUUGACAGCCACACCCUAUCUCCAACCCUUAUGGUUUCACCUUCCCUUCGGUUCUUGUCUGCCUGCCUCUUGUAUUCUUCCUUCGCCCUUUCUAAGUUGAGUUGGAGCUGACGGUGGAUUGCUUCCAUUUCUUCUACAAAAUGCUCGGCUGCCGGUACGCUCCAUCUCUCCCCUUCUCCCCUGGGAAAGCCCUGGGAUGACACCCAUAAUUAGCCAAGAAGGGGCUCAUCCCUGUGGACACAUUCUCGGCAUUGUUGUAGGCAAAUUCCGCCAGCGCCAACUUUUCUACCCAGUCAUUCUCUCUGUCAUUGACAUAACACCUCAGGUAUUGCUGGAGGACACCGUUUGCUCUUUCCGCCUGCCCGUUGGUUUCAGGGUGCCGGGCAGUCGAAAAGUUGACCUCCACCUGCAGUAAGCUCAUGAGCUUCCUCCAGAACCUGGAAGUAAAUUGUUUUCCUCGGUCUGAGACCACCCUCAAUGGCACCCCGUGCAACCUAAAAAUGUGUUCUACAAAUAACUUCGCUGUCUCUUCCGCCGUGACUGCAUGCGAGCAAGCUACAAAGUGGCACAUCUUUGUUAGUAGGUCUACCACCACCAUGAUGGCUGUUUUCCCUUUGGACUUCGGCAGAUCAGUCAUAAAAUCUAUCGACACUGCCUCCCAAGGUCGUUCUGGUGUUGGUAAGGGUUCUAAUAGCCCCGCCGGCGCCCGCCUUUCCCCUUUGGCUCGCUGGCACUGCUCGCACCCUCUUACAUACUCACGUACAUCCUCCCUCACCUUAGGCCACCAAAAUUCCCUGGUGACCAACCACAUGGUUUUGUGUUGCCCAAAAUGCCCCGCCGUGGGGCUGUCAUGCAACUGCUUGAGUACCCUCCCCUUAAGUCUCCUUCAGGGAUAUACAGUGCCCCUUUGUAAUACAAAGCUCCAUUUCUUUCCUCGAAACCCCUUGAUUCCUCUCCCUCAUCCCUAAGACCUCUGAGCUUAUUCUGGGCGUAUUCAUCAUUCUCUGUUUCUUCUACCAGUUCUCUUUGUCCCACCAAUGCCGCCCCACACACCCAGCGGUCCUCUGGAAUGACAUGUCUCUCUUCGGGUGCUCCCUCCCCUCCCAAUAUUCAGGUUUGCGUGAGAGAGCGUCCGCCCUAAUGUUCUCUGGGCCUGGCACGUAACAAAUCUCAAAGUUAAAUUUGGAGAAUUCCUGGGCCCAUCUCACUUGCCGUUGGUUGAGCACUCGUGCCGUCCUCCAAUACUCUAGGUUCUUGUGGUCAGUGCACACUUGCACCUUAUGUUGUGCGCCAAUUAGCAGGUGCCUCCAUCUCCGGAACGCCUCAUGAAUGGCUAGUAGUUCUCGGUCAUACACCGUGUAGUUCCUCUCGGAUUUGUUCAGCUUUCGCGAAAAAAGCACACGGUCUCCACUCUGACUCCUCCUUCCCUGGCUGGAGAAGCACCGCCCCAACCGCUCUGUCUGAUGCGUCAGUUUCCACUCUCAUCGGUUUUUGUAAAUCCACAUGCAGGAGCUGUUGUUCCGAGGCGAAGGCCCUUUUAGUUCCUCAAAUGCUUGCUCCGCCUCCUCCGUCCAAACGAACUUCUUCUUACUGCUGAGACAGUCCGUAAUGGGCGCCGUCAGGUGGGCAAAGUUUGGGAUGAACUUACGAUAGAAGUUCCCAAACCCUAAAAACCUCUGCACAUCCUUCCUUGUUUUGGGUGUUUUCCAUUCCAGUACCGCCUGGACCUUGUCGGGAUCCAUGGCCAACCCCUUGUCAGACAGGCGAUACCCCAGGAAUUCCACCUCCUUGGUAUGAAACUGACACUUCUCCAGUUUCACCCACAGCUGGUUGGCUUGCAGCCUGCUCAACACUUCUCUGACGUCUCUCACAUGCUGCUCCUCAUUCUCAGAAUACACCAACACGUCGUCUAAGAAGGCCACACAAUUCUUGUAAAGCAACGGCCCCAGGACGUGGUUCAUAAACGAUUGAAAUGUUGCGGAGCCUGCUUGUAGACCGAAGGGCAUAACUAAGUAUUCAAAUGCCCCUAAAGGGGUGAACAUGGUGGUUUUCCAUUCAUCCCCCUUCCUUAUUCGUAUCAGGUUGUACGCCCCCCUUAGAUCCAGCUUGGUAAAAAUCUUUCCCUUCCGCACCCUUGUCAAAAUGUCGUCAAUCCUGGGCAUCGGGAAGGCCACUGGUUCUGACACUGCAUUUAAGGCCCUGAAGUCACACACCAGUCUCGGCUUGUUCGUGUUUUUUUGUCCACAAAAACACUGGGCUGCCCCCCACCGCCCUGGACUCUCUGAUGAACCCUCUCUUCAGGUUCUUGUCAAUGAACUCUCUUAGCUCCUGCAUCUCUCUGUCUGACAUGGCGUACAGCUUGCCUACAGGGAGCUGUGCCCCAGGGAGCAAAUUGAUUUGACAGUCAAAGGCUCUAUGCGGUGGUAGUUGGUCAGCUUCCCUUUCGCUGAAAACGUCGCGGAGAUCUGCGUAUUGUCGUGGUACCUUCACGUUCUCCGUCACUUCAGUCCCUGCUAGAGUGGCUUGGGCCCCUGCCAAAACCCUUCCCUCUUUGCAAUGUUCUAAGCAAUGUGCUGACCCAAAAGAAACCACUCUUUGAUGCCAGCCCACCAGCGGAUCAUGUAACGCUAGCCAGCUCAUCCCCAAUAUAAUGGGAGCUCCUCCCAAGGUGGCCACAUUAAAUGCUAUUAGUUCGGUGUGCCUUGCCACCUUCAUUAUCAUUGGGACGGUCUGCAAGCUGACUUCUCCUCCCAACAGCUCCCUGCCAUCGAUCGUGGUUACCUGCAGGGGGUUGCUUAAAGGGAGCGUCUGUAUCUGGUGUUCAGCUGCAAACUCUUUGCUCAUGAAAUUGCAGGAGCUGCCUGAGUCCAACAGCGCCUUUAUCUUUAGAGGGUGUCCGUUUGGCAGCUCUAGUGUCACUUCUAUCACUAGGGCGGGUUUAGGAGGUUCUGGAGUGGGCACUUUCACUGCUCUUUGGCCUGGCUGCUGUGCCCCGACAAUGGCAGCCAGGCGUUGGCUUUUAGUUGCUCCGGUAUUUAUUCCUCUCUUCCCUCCACAGCUCCCACCAUCCCUUGCCAUUCCUUCCUCUGGGGGCAGACUCUGGCAAAGUGCCCUGGCUGUUGGCAGAGAUAGCAUUUCCGGGCGCCUUUUCCAUCCUUCUUUCCCCUCACUGGGCUUUGAAACUGCGCGCGCGCGCUGUUCCGAUUUCCAUCGGCUCUGCCGGCGGGACAGUUGGCUCUGGAAUGUCUGGAAUGCGGAACUCCUUCCAACGUUCCCCUUCCCUUCCCGCCUCUCCAAUGCUCUCGCCUCCUGGCGCGCUCCUAUGGCCAGCGCUGAUUUGGUCAGCUGGUCCAUAGACUCCGCCCUGGGCGCCCGGGAAAGUUCAUCUUUCACAGCCGAAGAAAGCCCUUCUUCAAAGAGCAUUUGAAUGGGUUCCGCCGAUAAGUCCCACCCCAAUCUGUGUAUCAGCAUGGUGAACUCAGUCCAGUACUCACGUACAGAUCGGCUCCCCUGUUUGCAAGCCAUUAACUGUCUGCGCACCACUCCCUUUUCAAUAUCGCUGGAAAACAUCAAAUCCAUGGCGCGAAAGAACUUCAUUGUGUCCUUUAGGACGUCACUAUGCGCUGCCAUCAGGGGUCUCACCCAGUCUCUCGCCCCUUUUCAAGAUGCCCAAUCACAAAAGCCACUCGUGAUUCCUCAUCAGGGAAAUCAUCAAACUGCAGAUUGAGGGCAUAUUGCAUUUCUGUCCGAAAGCUAUGAUAGUCUUUGGGCUCCCCCCCAAAUUUCUGCACCAAUCCUGGUACCUUUCUGGCGAGCUGGGUGGCUUUCUCCCUUUGUCUGCAUCUUGCGCCCUCCUCUCCUCCAGCCUCGCCGUCUGCAGCGCCAGCUGGACCUCCAACACCCGGUACCUUUCUUCCAGGCUUGGACCCGCUCCAGCCCCUGCUUCUCCGGUUCCUGCUGGGUUGCUCAUUAUGCCUUCUCCUGCACAAGCUGCGUUCAAAGACUGUCGGAAUGCUGUGAUGGGAUUAUGAGCUGCUUGUGCGUAAAAUCGUAUUCCCUCAGAGUUUGUUCAAGUCCACAAACCUCUGUCUGUGACUGAGCCCCUCUGACAUGGCUCCUCUAGUCACUAGAAGAUUCCGACAGUGGUUGCUUUCGUAAUCGCUUCCAACAUAAAAGCUCCUUAACGGAAACACGUCUUCUGGACUCUCUGCGUGACAGUUUCCGGCGAGGAGUGGGUGUCGCUACAGGAGGUCCGGAAACCUCACCACUGUUUUCGCUGGAAGUAUCUCUGAGCCAUCCCCCAGCUCCCUUUCCCUCAGUUCAGCUUCUCUCCCCUACUGGUUUCCUGUUCCGCUGCUGAGUCUCUUCCAACCUGUCUGAGCCCUUUCACCUCCCUCAGUUCAGCUUCUCUCCCCUUGCUGGUUCCCUCUUCAGCUGCUGAAUCUCUUCCAACCUGUCUGAGUCCUUUCACCUCCCUUCCUUCCGAUGGCAGUUCCCUGACAAGUUCACAAUAUGCAACUCCAAACACAUCCACCCUUCAAAAUCCACAAUUCUCCCAUUGCUUGAAGUGCAGUUUUCCAGCCAAGUAAAAAAAUGCAUAUACUGUGGUAAAGUGUGCAUAUAAAUGCAGCAGUGUGCACAUUAGAGGAAGUUGCACCCCAAAAUGUCUUUAUCAUGAGGACUUUUUAAAUGUUGAAAUGUGAAGAACUAGAUUUAAGAUGGAGGAACAGAGAGAAGUUGAACUUGGCGUGUUUGCCCACCCCUGCAUGACUCUUAGAUAUUGUGAUUGUGCAAUUUUAGAUUAUAAAUGCAGGGCCACAUUAUUGAAAAGUGUGUGGGUGUCCCCUCUGCCUCAUAUUCUAGUUACUGAAAACAUGGGCAUGGAGAUUUUUGACACGAGGCAAACUUACAAAUAUGCAGUCUCUCGCAUCAUGCACUUCAAAGGAAGUUGUAUCACGUGGCUUAUAAAGGGAGCCAAGAGCAGUUUAAAACAAUAAAUACCAGCGUGAUUCUUUGCAUAUUGACACAAAAUUUAAUUCUACAAUAUUCACUGGAGAAUACUCCAGAGGUGGAUUUAGGGCAGUGAUGGCGAACCUUUUAGAGACCAAGUGCAACCCAAAACCCACUUAUUUAUCACAAAGUGCCAACACGGCAAUUUAACCUAUAUAUCUCAUUUUUUCUGUGUGUUUCACGUUUCUUCUUUAUGACUGCUGUCAGAAUAAAUAAUCCUUCAUUACAUUCUUCAUUAAAUUAUCUUUCAGUUGAUAUAUAAUUUUAUGGUAUAACUCAGUGCUUUUUUUCAAAAAAAUAAAUGUUUCGGGGUACUCUCAUUUUGACUCAAGAAAAUCACCACCAGGGGAAAAAUAAAUAUAGUGAUACCUCAGUUUUCGAACAGCUUAGUUCUCGAACUACUUGGAAUCUAAACACUUCAAACCCGGAAAUGAGUGUACUGGUUUUGGAACUCUUUUUGGAAGCCGAACGUGCUCUGUUCUGAGUAUAACUUCCGUUUUGACUUAAACCAGCUUUAGUUCGGCAACUGAGCCCUGGCUGAGUGAGAGUGAACAAGUUAUGUUAGUGUUGGGGUAUAACUAGCCUCACAUAACCAACAUGCUUAAGUCUAAUUAAUUCAGGAAGGGGUUAAUGCCAUAGAGUAAGCUGUCCUGCUAGACUUAGAUAGGUCACUCCCCCUCACCUUAGGAAGAAGGUAAUCAAGCCUGUUGUUGUACGUCAGUCUACCAGAGAAGCUCAGCGAGUCAAGAGGUCUGAGCUGGUUGCUUCAAGUUCAGACUGCAUGGCUCUAACAAGCCACUCUUAUUUAGGAAGUUUGGAACUAAGCCAAGUUUUACUGCCUGUGCAACAUUUUCUGAAUGCUUUAUGGGAAAGCACCUGAAACUGACCUUUGGAGAGUUUAUAAGUAAACCAUUUUUUAACUUACCAAAUAUGUGAUGUAUUUUUUUCCCUAUGCUAACUGAAGGGGUACGUUUUAGAACUCACAAGGGCAUGUUUUAAAGGUUUAACAGCCUCUAUUUCCAUGCUUUGCUUUGCUGAAUAUUUUGUGAUUUUAAAUCUCUGCUGUGGUUCUCCCACCAAAGAGUACUUGCUCCAAACUUCUAUUUUGGCAUCCAGGAGUUCUCCUUUUUGUACCUACAUUUCUCCUUGCCACCAAAAAACGUAUAUUUGGCUGAGCUGUGGUUGGGGACUUAAUGCCGGCUGAGCCAAAGAGCCACUGCAUUCAAAGCUGCUCGUUCCAGCGGAACUUCCUAUAGGAUUGUCCCUCGUGUAACACACAUGUUGUUGUUGUUGUUGUUGUUUAGUCAUUUAGUCAUGUCCAACUCUUCAUGACCCCAUGGACCAGAGCACACCAGGCACUCCUGUCUUCCGCUGCCUCCCACAGUUUCGUCAAACUCAUGCUGGUAGCUUCGAGAACACUCUCCAACCAUCUCUAUCGUCCCCUUCUCCUUGUGCCCUCCAUCUUUCCCAACAUCAGGGCCUUUUCCAGGGAGUCUUCUCUUCUCAUGAGGUGGCCAAAGUAUUGGAGUCUCAGCUUCAGGAUCUGUCCUUCCAGUGAGCACUCAGGGCUGAUUUCCUUAAGAAUGGAGAGGUUUGAUCUUCUUGCAGUCCAUGGGACUCUCAAGAGUCUCCUCCAGCACCAUAAUUCAAAAGCAUCAAUUCUUUGGCGAUCUGCCUUCUUUAUGGUCCAGCUCUCACUUCCAUACAUCACUACUGGGAAAACCAGUUGAGCUGCCAUAAGAGUUGCCAAUUCAUUGCAGUUCAACUAUGUGUUUAGUCUUUUCAACAUUAUUACUGAGAAUAAUGCAUUUCUGCAGAAUGCCAAACAAUUAUAAAAGUUUGUUUCCCCCCCCCCCAAAUGUGAUACUUUAUCAUGAUGACUUCACACACAUCACACGCCCAAUUGUUCCUAUGGUAUACAGAACAGGGUAUUAUAAGUCCAACAGCUUUUAUCACCUAAUUCUUCACAUCCCAAAAUACAUUUUGGACACAAUGCCAUGCUCCCAUUUUCUCCACUGACAUUUCCAAAACAAUUCCACCAGCAUAAAAUUACCCAAGCAAUCUGACAAGUGUAGAUCUUGCUAAUGUCUAAAUUAUUGUAGCAACGAGAAGCUGUGUGUUUUGUGCAUUAAACUUUAAACAUCAUCCAUAAAAGCUCAACUGCAUGCCUGCUUAAAUAUGGGUUACGAAAAUAUCUAUUAUCAGAAAGGCUCAAAUGGGAUUUAACAUUUGCUCUUCGGUUAAGUUGAUGGUAAUGCAGACUCCUUUUGUUUGUUUGGCUUUUAGGUGAUAAAACUGAAAACAUGAAGACAGCUUUAAUUACAAGCAUUCAAUAAUCCUACAGUAUGUAUGAUAAAAAGGCACUGAGAUUUGUUUUUAAUAGCCCGAGGGGCUAUUUUGACUUCUCUACUCAUUUUUCUGUGUAUUAAAAAUGCAUUAUUAGUAGCGUUCACAAGAUUGCUUAGAAGUCUGGGCUUUUUAUCCUCCUCCUUUAUUUUUUGUAUACUAGAAUUAUCUGGUUUUCUUUUCUAUUCAUGCAUUUAGUUAGCCUGAUUCCUUUCAAAAAGUGAAGUAUCUUCAGUUAGAAACUUAUAUAUCUGAAAUAUUCAAGGAUGGUUGAAGGACCAGAUAAUUCAGUUCCAGCAAAGUAUGUACUUUGGGCCAAACUACACAAGAAAUUAAAUGUACUUUUCAAUUUCAUGUGCAGGAGGUGUAAAGACGGAACUAAACCCCUCCCCUAUUGUGAUCCAGACAAAAAUCUCCCUUACACAUGAAGAGAGUUGUCUGCAAGGGAGAAGCAAAGGUAAGAAACUUGCACACAUUCAGUUCUGCAAAGCAGACUUUGUGCAGCUGAGGAAUGCUACAGUGCUAUGAAUGUCUAAAUGUCUCAAGCUUAAGCAAGACCACGAUAAAAAUAUUUUUCAUUCAUUAAUUAAAUGUUAUCUUUAACUUAUCACUGCCACCCCAUCUGAGAAUUUGAUCACCUUUCUGUAUUUAUUAUGAAUGUUUUAUAGUUCAUCUCUUUCCUGGAAGGAUGGUUCUCUGCCAUUCACUUCCUGGAAUUACAAACAGUGCCUUUGAAAUCAAUAACAUAGCAACAAGCUUCUGUCGUUCUUAACAGUGGUCCAUCAAGCCAACAUCUGAUGUCUUCCAGCAACCAGCUCUCUUGGUCCUCCUAGGGAGUCAAUAACUCUAAUAUAAGCCAUGAGUGAGGCAGUCACUUUUCUUUCAUUCAGUAUUUGGAUUAUAGGUAAGCUUGUGAUGGCCUGGGAAUCGGAUUCAGAGGCUGAACCUGAGGAAUCCCAGCCUGAACAGGAGUCCCCGCCUCCAGGGCCGGCUGAGCUGGGGCAGGGGCUUGAACCUGAAGAGCCCUCACCUGUGCCGGAUCCUCAGGAGCAGACACCAGCUGAAUCCGCUCUGGCUCCGGAGGUGAUCGAGGACCCAUUGCCUGCAGGUGCUCCUCUCCCAGCCCUGCCAGAGGAAGGUGAGGUUGCCUCUGGGUCCAGUAACCCUCCAGCCUCUCCUGAGCUGCAGAGGCUCGGGGCAGAGAGGCGGAGGGAACUAAGUUCUCGCAGGAGGAGUGCUCGCCUCCAGGCCAGGAGAGGCGAGUCACCUGUGGACCGGGGCCGCUCUAUGCCUCAGAGGAGAUCAAGGCCAGCCCGCCCAGUCCCAGGUUGCGGGAGCAACAUCGUUGGUUACCUGUUCCUGCCGGCACCCUGUCCUGCUUUCUGCCAGAGUUCCUGACCAUGCCUGACUCCCUGCCUUGGACCCCGCUUCAGCCUCGGACCGGACAUGGACCACGCCGCACGGUAACCCCCCCCCCCGGGACCAGCAUAAUUAUGCCAUAGGCUAUAGGAUCAAUUUAGUUGUGUAAAGGCAGUAGACCUGAGAAGUUGUUAAAUGAAUAGAGAACUGAACUCGAGGCAAGGAGUGGGUGGGGGGGUAAAAUAAACGUAGCUAUGUUGUCACCACUCAAUCAGUAUUUGUUUUGUAAAAUCAGCCCUGAGUGUACACACACACACACACACACAACCUACGGAGAGCCUGCGUUAUUUUUGUGCAACCCUGCAAAUACUAGCAGCUUCCACUUUGGGGAAAUAAAUAUUUUUUUAAAUAAAAACAAAACAUGAAACUGCUUUUGGAUUCAGCAUAGUUAACAUGCUCUUUCUAUUUCAGGCUUCAAUAACUGGUCUGUUGCUAUGUUCUCUGUAGAGACAUUCGUAAUCUCUUCCUGUGCAUUGCACUAAGCAAAACUGCUGAUUCUUAAUACUUGGGUUAUUAAGGGGGAAAUGGGCAGUUGAAGCUCCUUAAAAUGACAGAGACUUUUUUCUGUAUUGUCUUAAUAAAAAAGAUAACAGUAUUGAAAUCCCAAAACGCAAUGAUCCCAGCAGGAAAUCAUUACUUAUACUGUAAUAUUAAAAAAAAUCAAAUAUUGCUCAUUCUCAAGGACUGCAAUGUAAGUAAAAGAACUCUCCUGAUAGCCAAUAAAUUGAUUCCAGUCAAUCUACGGCUUGGGGCAGAGAGGUGAACAGGAGGGGGGGAAGUAAGGAGGAGAGCCUUCGACAUCUCUAAGCAUCUACAUCUAACGCCUCCCUCCUGCUAGGCUUGCACCUGCUUCUAGUUGCCCAUACCAACAGGCAAACCUCUCACCAUCAAGCAAGCCAGCCCUGCAGUUGAGAGAAGCAGCCCUAGAAACCUCUUCACCUCCAGCCAAUUUACAUCACCUGGCUCAAGAACCAUAAAAGCAGAAGCAGAUGCAAUGUGGCAGGCUACCAUUUGGUGAGAACAACCCUGAAAGGGUUGUCACUUCAGGGUUGGGGAAAGGGCACAAUUCUACCAUGGUUUCCUCCCCCUACCUGUGGGCAUUACAUGAGUGUGUUUAUUGUAUGCAGCAUGUAUUUGCAUGUGUGUAUGCAGGUAUGCAUGUGUGUAUGCAGGUAUGUAUGAUGGGGAUGUGGGUGGCGCUGUGGGUUAAACCACAGAGCCUAGGACUUGCCGAUCAAAAGGUCGGCGGUUCGAAUCCCUGCGACAGGGUGAGCUCCCAUUGUUCGGGUCCCUGCUCCUGCCAACCUAGCAGUUCGAAAGCACGUCAAAGUGCAAGCAGAUAAAUAGGUACCGCUCUGGCGGGAAGGUAAACGGUGUUUCCGUACGCUGCUCUGGUUCGCCAGAAGCAGCUUAGUCAUGCUGGCCACAUGACCCAGAAGCUGUACACCAGCUCCCAUGGAAAGUAAAGCUAGAUGAGCACCGCAACCCUAGAGUCGGCCACGACUGGACCUAAUGGUCAGGGGUCCCUUUACCUUUACCUUUAUGCAGGUAUGACAGACAUAGGUUUAAUGCAGUGUUUCCCAAACUUGGCUCUUCAGCUGCUCUUGGACUACAACUCCCAUCAUCCCAAACUAGCAGGACCAGUGGUCAGGGAUGAUGGGAACUGUAGUCCAAAAGCAGCUGGAGACCCAAGUUUGGGAAACAUUUGUUUAAUGUUUCUGGGGUGUCCAGUGUUAGAGACUGUGGUGUGCCAGAGAAUUUCUAAACCUUGGGUAUGAGGUGGGGCAGGGAAGGUACUGUGAACGCCCCAGGUGAGAUAUGGGAUGGAAUGCCUGCCCCCCAUUAGUUGUGUUCUAUUUCUCAGCUGGGGGCUUGGCAUAUUUAUGUUGAGCUGUAUAUGUGACCUAGUGUGGAUUGAUGUCUGCAGGGCCUGGUGGUAUGUUCAACUGUGUACCUAUUUCCUUUCUUUCUUUUGCAGAGUGUUCCAUACACAGAGUUUGUCCUGGAGGAAGAAAGAGGUCAUUGGGCAACCUAUCUUAGUUACUCUUUCAAGGAGUGAGAGGCAUUUGAGACGGGGUUAUUUGCCUCUCACUCCUUGAAUGAGUAACUACUCUUAGAGAUGGAGAUAUAUAAGCUUUACAUUGGAAUUGGCAUAGGAUACAGUGGUACCUCAGGUUACGCAUUUAAUUCAUUUUGGGGCGCCAUGCACACCCUGAAAAAUCCACAACUAGAGGCGCCGCUUCUGCGCACACAUGCGGCAUGAUAGAACGCUUCUGCGCAUGCACGCAGAGCACUUCUGUGCAUGCACAAGCAGCGAAACCCGGAAGUAUACACUUCCAGGUUUGCUGCGGCUGUAACCCAAAGAUUCCGUAUCUUGGAGGUUACGCAACACGAGGUACCACUGUAUAGGAAUUUCCCUGCUCAAGUGGUUGAUUUUCUUGACAUUCAUGCAAAUCCUACUGUAAAAGGAAACGGGUUUAAUUCAGUACAAAGGAGAGCUACCCAAAUCUCAGGUCCUAUGCAAUAACACUUGUACAGUGUGCAGUAAAUGUACUGCACUAGCAAAAGGGGUUUGUCCCCCCUCCUUCUUAGUUUUAUCCUAUAUUGGCUCCUCUUCUGCUGCUGCUCAGGAACAGCAAAGGUGAUGGAAAAUCAGAGGACCAGAUAUUAUAGAGAAGCAAGUUUAUGAGAAAGGGAAGGCCAGCAAGUAAGCCGAUUUGAGAGGUGCAUGAGAAUUUACUGGGAGAUUUGAAAGAAGAGGGAUGGCCAGUGAGUGGACCCCAGAAUAUGUUGGUAAAGUGGGACCAGAUAAACUGAGGCAGCUCUAUCCAUCUUCAUACAACAUAAGGUCAUUAGGAAGUCUGAAGAAUAUCGACUUGAAAGAGAAACUGCAAGAUUCAGAAUAGGGAACUGGUAUAUAGUGCCUAGGAUGUGACUAAAGUAUCAGAGACUGUGCCUCAUUAUUAUUUUUUAAGUACAGUGCUACCUCAGGUUAAGUACUUAAUUCAUUCCGGAGGUCCGCUCUUAACAUGAAACUGUUCUUAACCUGAAGCACCACUUUAGCUAAUGGAGCCUCCUGCUGCUGCCGUGCCGCCGGAGCACAAUUUCUGUUCUUAUGCCGAAGCAAAGUUCUUAACCCGAGGUACUAUUUCUGAGUUAGCGGAGUCUGUAACCUGAAGCGUAUGUAACCUGAAGUGUAUGUAACCCGAGUUACCACUGUAUUUUAAAAGAGAGUGAACUUUAGAUUCUCUAAAAUGUCUUUGAGGAAAGGCUUACAGCAGUGUUAGUGAUUCAGAUCUCGCCUCCUGCCUUGUGUUCAUAGGCACAGAAGGAGAAGCCUUAAAAAGAGGUACAUAAGGACAAACCCAUCCUCAUGAUGACAACAACUCAAUCCUAGAAAUGGCUGCUGUUUCCUCUUCUGACUCUUCUUCUUUGCAGCUUCUGCACACACAGGGGGAAAUGAUCCCUCGCCAGUUGACAGAGUGAUUCUUCUUCAGAAAAUGCAAACCGUUUGUUUUAGAGUGUACAUAUUUGUACAGUAUACAUCUUUUUCUGCUUUCUGAGGGGAGUCACAAAACAAUGUAAAAUAAAUAUUGUAAGCACAUGGUUUAAAAAUAAACCUUUUAAAUGUCAUAAAA